UACGUAGGGACCAAGCGUUGUCCGGAAUCAUUGGGCGUAAAGAGCGUGUAGGCGGCUUGUUAAGUCUUGCGUGAAAUCUCGGGGCUCAACCCCGAGCGGUCGUGAGAAACUGGCAGGCUAGAGUGCGGGAGAGGAGAGUGGAAUUUACGGUGUAGCGGUGAAAUGCGUAGAUAUCGUAAGGAAGACCAGUGGCGAAGGCGGGUCUCUGGACAGUUCCUGACGCUGAGGCGCGAAAGCUAGGGUAGCAAACGGG
This 253-nucleotide ribosomal RNA is filed under the name uncultured bacterium. Its description in RNAcentral is "partial 16S ribosomal RNA". It matches the Rfam family "Bacterial small subunit ribosomal RNA", at positions 524 to 776 of the family's 1533-position model. The record is from RNAcentral.